RNAcentral lists this ribosomal RNA (429 nucleotides) under Bacteroidota bacterium. RNAcentral describes it as "Bacteroidetes bacterium partial 16S ribosomal RNA". It matches the Rfam family "Bacterial small subunit ribosomal RNA", at positions 355 to 776 of the family's 1533-position model. The record is from RNAcentral. Lineage: Bacteria; Pseudomonadati; Bacteroidota. RNAcentral also lists the same sequence under 1 other name.
UAGGGAAUCUUCGGCAAUGGGGGGAACCCUGACCGAGCAACGCCGCGUGAGUGAAGAAGGUUUUCGGAUCGUAAAGCUCUGUUGUUAAGGAAGAACGAGUGUGAGAAUGGAAAGUUCAUGCUGUGACGGUACUUAACCAGAAAGGGACGGCUAACUACGUGCCAGCAGCCGCGGUAAUACGUAGGUCCCGAGCGUUGUCCGGAUUUAUUGGGCGUAAAGCGAGCGCAGGCGGGUAGAAAAGUCUGAAGUGAAAGGCAGUGGCUCAACCAUUGUAGGCUUUGGAAACUGUUUAACUUGAGUGCAGAAGGGGAGAGUGGAAUUCCAUGUGUAGCGGUGAAAUGCGUAGAUAUAUGGAGGAACACCGGUGGCGAAAGCGGCUCUCUGGUCUGUAACUGACGCUGAGGCUCGAAAGCGUGGGGAGCGAACAGG